This 88-nucleotide non-coding RNA is filed under the name unclassified sequences. RNAcentral describes it as "c-di-GMP sequence". It matches the Rfam family "c-di-GMP-II-GAG riboswitch aptamer". The record is from Rfam by way of RNAcentral.
GGGGCAGCGGGAAGCUCUUGCACGCGGUCCGCGCCCACGGCCGCUCAAGGCCGCGCCGAGCCCACUGGCGAGACCGACCCGCGUUGAU